Molecule: ribosomal RNA, 83 nt
Filed under: Amaranthus spinosus
Lineage: Eukaryota; Viridiplantae; Streptophyta; Magnoliopsida; Caryophyllales; Amaranthaceae
Description: partial 5.8S ribosomal RNA
Rfam family: 5.8S ribosomal RNA
About the family: 5.8S ribosomal RNA (5.8S rRNA) is a component of the large subunit of the eukaryotic ribosome. It is transcribed by RNA polymerase I as part of the 45S precursor that also contains 18S and 28S rRNA.
Source: RNAcentral
CAGAAUCCCGUGAACCAUCGAGUUUUUGAACGCAAGUUGCGCCCGAAGCCUUUGGCCAGGGCACGUCUGCCUGGGCGUCACGC